CACAAGUUAUGGGAAGAACUAUAAGGAAUGUCACCUCAAUGUCACUGCAGUGAAGGAUCGACCCGAACCUGAGACAUCGAGUGACACCAGACUGAGAAGAGAUCCUCGGGGAAGGAUCGGCCUCUACUGUGCACUGGGACUGACAGCAGCUCUACUGGUUCCUUUAUUUUAUCUCUGCUUUGCAAACAAGACCAGUGAUCAGCAGAACAAACGAUAACCCAGCAUUGCUCCUGUAGCUGUGACCACAGAGUGAGAAUGGAGUGAAUAUUAGUUACUGACGGCAGGAAGCUGCUCAUCAGUGUGAGAGUGGUUGAAUGAUGUGUGUGUGUGUGUAUAUAUAUAUAUAUAUUUAUAUUUAUAUUUAUAUACCGGUUUAAUUUUUGUGUUCUCUGACUGAGAUUCAAAGGAAAUCCACAGUCUUUACAGACUGAAGUUUUUUUUUGUUCUAGACCUUCAGCUCCUCUAACAGAGACUCUGACUACUGAACAUAUUCUGCAUUAAGCAUCGUGCUGCUCGUCAUCAAAGACUAAUGUUUAUUCUGGUUCCUGAUCAUAAAGAAAAGGAGAAGCCAUAAAGCCUGUAUGAAGAGAAAUAGAUCCUCACGCUGCCUCAAUAUUGCAUUUUGCACAUAAUGCGAUUAAUCGUUGUUAACCACAGAAAAAUAAUAAUAAUUCAACUUCUUCCUUUCCCUAACAUUAAUACAUACCAAUUCCUAUUUGU
Non-coding RNA from Gasterosteus aculeatus aculeatus (three-spined stickleback), 720 nucleotides. NCBI's taxonomy places the organism in Eukaryota, Metazoa, Chordata, Actinopteri, Perciformes, Gasterosteidae. The record is from RefSeq and is a predicted model, not a curated record.